AAAUUUGUUUGAAGUUUUCUGUAUGUUAAUGUGUAGGGACUGAUGGCAAUGCCUACUCCCAAUUUCAACUUUUGUCUCUCCCUAAUUCCAGAAAGAGUGAGCCUGUCAUCUUGCAAAGCAAGCCUUUGAUGAAGCUAUCUCCGAGCUGGAUACUUUGAGUGAGGAGUCAUACAAGGACAACACCUUAAUCAUGCAACUCUUGAGGGACAACCUCACAUUGUGGACAUCUGACAUCCCGGAGGAUGGAGUUGAAGAAGGGCAGAAGGCAGACAACUCUGCAAAAAACUGG
Rosa chinensis is the source of this 289-nucleotide long non-coding RNA. RefSeq lists it as uncharacterized. The record is from RefSeq and is a predicted model, not a curated record. Lineage: Eukaryota; Viridiplantae; Streptophyta; Magnoliopsida; Rosales; Rosaceae. The transcript is spliced from 3 exons.